Molecule: ribosomal RNA, 733 nt
Filed under: uncultured bacterium
Lineage: Bacteria
Description: bacterial SSU rRNA
Rfam family: Bacterial small subunit ribosomal RNA
Source: RNAcentral
GGGGACCCUGGAUACUGGCUUGCUGGAGUGAGAUGGAGGGAAGCGGAAUCUAACGUGUAACGGUGAAAUGUGUAGAUAUGUGGAGGAACACCGGUGGCGAAAGCGGCUUCCUGGAACUCAUCUGACGCUGAGGCGCGAAAGCUGGGGGGAGCGAACAAGAUUAGAUACCCUGGUAGCCUGGCCGUAAAACUAUGAGAACUAGUUGUGGGGUUCCUCCCUCCCUUCCGUGCCGCACCGAAAGUGUUAAUUGUUCCGCCUGGGGAGUACGGCCGCAGGGUUGAAACUCAAAGGAAUUGACGGGGGCCCGCACAAGCGGUGGAGUAUGUGGUUUAAUUCGAAGCAACGCGAAGAACCUUUACCAGGGCUUGAAAUGGAUGGAAGUCCGCUGAAAGGCGUCUGCUCUCUCUUAGACACAAGACAGGUGUGUGCUGGCUUGCCUUCAACUCGAGUCGUGGCAUGAUAGGUUGAGUUCCGCCACGAGCCGUAACCCCUACUUUCAGUUGUCAGCCAGUAAAGUCGGGUGCUCUCGCUAGACUGCCUGGUCACUGAUCCACACGAAGGAUCGGUAUGCAUGACAAGCCAUUCUGCCCUUGUUUUACAUUGGGCUACUACACAGGACUAGCAUAGGACUGGUACAUUACCGCAGCGCUAUCGCACUCAGCACGGAGCGGGAUCACAUCCAAGAUAGUCGCCCGUCCGCUACCGAUAGUCGUCACCCAGCUCUGACGUGAAU